This 71-nucleotide small RNA is filed under the name Arabidopsis thaliana (thale cress). RNAcentral describes it as "ATSL129530". Lineage: Eukaryota; Viridiplantae; Streptophyta; Magnoliopsida; Brassicales; Brassicaceae. The record is from RNAcentral.
AUUUUCUUCUUCGCUUCUCAGUUCGUUUUUUUUUUUUUUUUUAGUUCAGGUAAGGUUUUUUUAUUAUUAUU